AUUUUUUGUUGCAGUUUGGCCAGGGCCGGGUUUGAACCCGCCACCCUCGGUAUAUAGCGCCCUACCGACUGAGCCACAGGCGCCGCCUUCUUGUCUUGAGAAAAGGUCACUUGAGGAUUUCUUGAGUCGAGUCCCAGUUUGAGAAGACCGAUGGAGUCAUAGAUGCAGAAAAUUGAGAAUUUUCGUCAGUGAGCAAAGCAAAGAAACCUACUCCAUUCCGUCGCGGUCAAGGUUUUAGAGAACCCAGGAUAAGGGAAGGUAGAGUCUUGUUCUAUCACCCAGGCUGCUGCAGUGGUGUGAUCAUAGCUCACCGUGACCUCAUAUUCCUAGGUGCAAGCGAUCAUUCUGCCCCACUCUGCUGUGUAGCUGGGAAUACAGGUUCGGAGCACCAACUGAGUAGUUACCUGUUGAGACAACUUUGAGAGCUGAGUUUGAAUAAAAUGAGUUAUGCAUGGAGCCGCAGGCACCAGCCCAAGGAUGACAAGUAUAGGUAUGAGGAAAGCAAUUUUAGAUUCACAGCAAAACCAAGAUGAAUCUACAGAGAUUACCUACAUGUCCACCCCCCUACCUCAAGAUGCACAGCCUCCCCCAUCAUCAAGAUCCCCUACUAGAGAGGUACAUUGCUACGAUGACGAAUUUACAAUGAAACGUUAUCACCCAAAGUCAGUAGCUUCCAUCAGGGUUCACUGGUGAAGCUGUAUAUGCCAUGUGUUUGGGCAAAUGUAUAAAGAUGCGUACAUACCAUUGUAGUAUGGGACAGAGUAGUUUCACUGCUCUAAAAAAUCCUGUGUGCACUGUUUUAUUCAGCCCUGCUGUUCUCUCACCUGAUCCCUGGCGCUUCAUGUCUCCUUAGUCCCACCUUUUCCACAAUGUCAUCUUACAGGAAUCAUACAGCAUACAGCCUCUCCUGACUGCCUUCUUUCACUUAGUGAUGCCCAUUUAAGUUUCUUCUACAUCUUUUCAUGGCUUGAUAGCC
Nycticebus coucang (slow loris) is the source of this 976-nucleotide long non-coding RNA. RefSeq lists it as uncharacterized. The transcript has 4 exons. NCBI's taxonomy places the organism in Eukaryota, Metazoa, Chordata, Mammalia, Primates, Lorisidae. The record is from RefSeq and is a predicted model, not a curated record.